This 497-nucleotide ribosomal RNA is filed under the name uncultured bacterium. Its description in RNAcentral is "partial 16S ribosomal RNA". It matches the Rfam family "Bacterial small subunit ribosomal RNA", at positions 28 to 508 of the family's 1533-position model. The record is from RNAcentral.
GAUGAACGCUGGCGGCGUGCCUAAUACAUGCAAGUCGAGCGAACGGACGAGAAGCUUGCUCCUCUGAUGUUAGCGGCGGACGGGUGAGUAACACGUGGAUAACCUACCUAUAAGACUGGGAUAACUUCGGGAAACCGGAGCUAAUACCGGAUAAUAUAUUGAACCGCAUGGUUCAAAAGUGAAAGACGGUCUUGCUGUCACUUAUAGAUGGAUCCGCGCCGCAUUAGCUAGUUGGUAAGGUAACGGCUUACCAAGGCAACGAUGCGUAGCCGACCUGAGAGGGUGACCGGCCACCUGGGACCGAGACACCGGCCAAACCCCCUCGGGGAGGAGCAAGAAGGGAUCCUCCCGAAAGGGGGGAAGCCUGACCGAGGAACCCCGCGGGGAGUAUGAAAGGUUUCGGAUCGUAAAACCCGUUUAAUAGGGGAAAAAAAAUUGGUAAAUAACCGUGCACAUCUUUGCGGUACCUAAACAGAAAGCCACCGGCAACCUCCGGC